This 70-nucleotide transfer RNA is filed under the name Agrilus planipennis (emerald ash borer). It matches the Rfam family "tRNA". From Rfam's summary of the family: Transfer RNA (tRNA) molecules are approximately 80 nucleotides in length. The record is from Rfam by way of RNAcentral. Lineage: Eukaryota; Metazoa; Arthropoda; Insecta; Coleoptera; Buprestidae.
UUCCUUUUAGCUUAGUGGUAAAGUAUUGGUGCGUAAAACUAGGGGCCGGGUUCGAUCCCCGACAAGGAAG